UGAAUUUUGACGUAAUUUCUCUUGAUGUAGCUAGCAGGUGGCAGAGGUGUAUUUGAAAGUCAGCAGCAUUGUGACAGCGAUUAGAAUAUCCUCCGUCUGCCAGUCUUCUUGAUUCUUAGAUUCUCUUGGCAAGACGUUCGGUGUUUUUAAGUCCUCCGAACGGGACUCUCCUCUUUCUCAAUUAUCCUGAGGUUCGUUGGGUGGCGUAGUCGGUACUUCCGGCAGCGCCUCCUCUUCAUGUAUAGUUAUCUUCAUUUUCCACACCUGACUUGGUGCUUCGGCCUCCUCUUGGAUAAUUCUGUUUAAACUCAACGUCUUCUGAUCUUACAACUUUUCCUUCGUAGUCUGCCCAUCCGUCCUUGAUGAUUUUCCUCCUCUGGUUGCGGUUGCGUCGUCUUCUUCUUGUCCUGACCUGCUUAGAAUCUUCAACUAUGUAGUUAGAAUCAUUAAAGUAAUGGCGUACCUUCUCAGAGGGGAAAUACACGUGGACUUCUCCGGUUCCAAUGUAGAUGAUAACUUGGAUAGUGUUGAGGAAUGGUCUUCCAAGGAUGAUGGGUGGAUCGUACUCGUCUUCUCCCAUAUCAAUGUUCUGAAAAUCAUUUGGAGCUAAAUAUAUAUUGGUUGUAGGGGCAUGGUUCCAUGCAGGAGCUGAUAAGUGACUGCGGCCAUUAUGUUGACGUUAGAUCCGGUGUCGUAGAGUGUUUUCUAAAAAGAGUAUCUAUUGGUUGUGCACUCGAUGAUUGGAACACCAGGGUCGUCCUUCUUGAUCAAGAAAGGUGACUUGAGUCGACGAUCUUGACCUCCUUGAGCUGUAGUGACCAUCUUAGCUGACUCGGUCCACAUUUGCUUGUUCCUGUUCCUCCUGUUGGUCCUCUUCCUUGGUUCAUGUCGGGAUUGCUCUGAAGUUUAUGUAGUCUUGUUCUUGAAGGAAAGUCUCCUUCUUCCCCUUGAUGUAGAGAUUGAUCUUGGUAGCAUUAGCGUAGAUGACAACUCUGGUGUUUAGGAAUGGCCUCCCUAAGAUGAUGGGUGCCCUCUCCUCAGUACCAGUCUCUACCACCACGAAGUUUGCUGGAGCGUACAAGGUACCAACUUGGACACAGAGGUUCUUUAAUAUUUCCUUUGGGAAACUAAGAGUCUGAUCUCCAUUGUGUUUGUGCUCGUAGAUCCCGGUUCUUCACUUAAUGGAAUCUGGGAGUUGUAAAACGCCUUCACGUUUCUCAAAAUGUGUCCUGCUCAUAGAGACAAGGCAGAGAUCAAGUGCAUGGGCUCUAUUGGUGGAAAACACCAACAGAACCAAAAGUGUAUUUGUUCUUUUCUAACCUUAAGCAUAGUGAGCAAGACAAAGUUGAUGAAUCAUGAGUGUAGCAUUUAAAACAUUUGUUAGAUCAGAUGGCUCAACCUAAUGGAAAGAUAAUCUAUCUAUAUUUAUGUUUUGUUUUUAUCUUCCAAAGAUUGAAUGUGCAACAUAUUAGCUUAUAUGUUUAGGAGCGUGGGAUUACGAAGGUAGUACUAAGAACAAAGAUUAAGGGACUAAACAUGUUGAAUCAGUUAGGUUGGUUAAUUUAGAGUUAUAAAUCAUACAUGUUUGUCUCUUUAUUUAUGUGAAUGCCAGAACCAAGGAGAAACUUAUAAAAGGAUAGUCAAGUACCUUAAGAUGUUACCUUUGAAGAGUGAUGGUACAGUAUCACCUUGAAGCUUUCCUUUCUAGCGGUUGUGCAUCGUGUUUGUGGCUCCCUCCAUGGAUCAUCUCUUAUGAGCUACGUCUUUCUUGUGCAAAUUGUUAAACUUCAUGUGUCACUUUCUUUAUCUCCAUUGUGAGUUUAUCUCAGGACUUCCCAGGUUGAUAUUGAAAGUUUUCCUGCAGGGGUUAGUCGCACAAAAUAUACCAAUGUCUACACAAGCAAUUUUUAGUUCGAUAACCGAACUAGACUCCAUGUCUAAUCAGAUUAAGGAAGGCUGUUUAACCUAAGCACCAUGCUUAAUUUGAAAGCCAAUAGAAGUAUGUGCAGUACUUCCAAACUAACACUUACUAGGAUAAACAAAGGUAGCGUGAUGGCAUUUAUAGAGAUCUACUUAAGUGGAGAUUUCGUAGUGUGAUUAGUAUUUAACAAAUUGAGCAUGUCUCAAAGGUAAGGACAACCAACAUAGCAACAUGGCAAAGGAUGUUUUUAUGUGAAGUACUCCCCUAAGCUUGAAUUUUGCAAAAUUCAAGAUUGGAUGAAUUUAAUUCAAUGUUGCAUGUUGAUUGGUUGGGCAUACCUUGCGCUUGUCAUUCAUCCGGUCUUCUUGCUCCAAUCCUAGAAAGGUUAGUGACAAGAAUACCCGAAGGAAUAUUUCUACAAUUAUCUAUAUGCUCAAUACACAAGGUAAUGUUGCAAGUAAUUUAGAAGUUCUUGUUACGAUCUGAUAAGUGCUUGUUUUAGGACACUAAGCUUGUCCUUGGGAAACCAUCAAUUAACUCGACGAGAUCUGCAAUAUUUAUUAUAAACAUAUGCAUCGACAACCGCUCUUUUAAAGUUUUUAUAAAUAGAAAAGAAAAGAGGGUUGGAGAUCUCAAAUGUGGUGAUAGCACAUGAAUUUUUAAUGCCCUCUAGCCAUUAAUGUUGCUCUUCUCGAUCCUCCUUAUGCAUGGGAUGUCUAGAGAGAUUCAUAGGAUUAUCGGGAGGUUCAAGAGAAAGAGCAUAGUAGAGAUUAUUAGGCUCAAGGAUGGGUUGGAUAGCCGAAUCAUGGGAUUGGAAAGUUUGGAAAUCGGCUAUUGAAACUUCCUCUCCUUGUAUGGGAGAUGAUUCCUUCUCUAUCUCUAUGAUUUUUCUAUGAAGACUAGUACAAGAAGGAUGUCCACGAAUGAAGACAUACCUUCCGUUACUAACUGAUAAAGAAAGAAAGACUCUACCAAAGGUUAUAUGAUUAAGACCAAUGUGAAAAUAUCUAGGAAAAACAUGGUCUUGUAGGGCUAGGUCUAAACCAGAAUUUAUAGAAAAAUUAAAAGAUUCCCUAGGUGUAGCUAAAAGUGCAUUAUCUUUUUGAUUAAAAGAUAGGACCUCAGCUAUAGAAAAGGGUUGGUUUUGACCUAUUGCAAUCAACUCCGGACACAGAUCAUAACUAGGGGCAGGACGUGUUGACUCUCAUGGUCUAUGGCUGGUCUCCGAAGGUGCAAAGAAUUUAAUAAUAGUUAUGGAAUUUAAGAUAUCCAUAAAGAUAAAAAGAUAAAAGAAUAAAAGUAUAAAAGUAUAAUACAAGAUAAUAGCAAGACUCAAAGUUAUCUCAGCAAACCGUCUUUCUCCCCGGCAACGGCGCCAGAAAUGCUUGUUGAUAUUUGGUAACGCAAUAAGGAAAUGAUCCGCAAGCGCACGGAUAUCGGUGAGCAUUUCACCCGGGUGGUUAUCCAGAGUUAUCGUAUUUAUAUUUUUACCACUGGGAGAAAGGGUGCAUCUGACUAACCAAAUCUAUUGCUACUAUCCCUUUAGGCACAAAGAAUGUCUUUCAAUGUGAGUGAUAAAUAGAGAAGACUGCAGCCGUAGUCUCCUUCUAACCUUGGUAAGGAUGAUCUACUGUUCUAAUGGGGAGGCUAACGGAAUCUAGACACCACAAAGGAUGUUCAACCCGCACCUAUAAACCCUAUCCUUCCUGCUAACGAGAUGUGAUCUACAAAGGUAGCUCGGAAAUGUCACGUUCCUCACUACUACCACGGUCCAGCUAGUCAGGGAAUAUCUAUGAGUACCCCAGCCUAAACACCACGUUUACGCCAGCAAUGAUUACUCUAAACUCUACGCGAAGAGAUUAAAGUAAACUCAUAAACCAUAAGAACAAUAAAACAAGAACUUACUAGAAUUUAGAAGUCGAAUUACUGAAGAAUCCUAGGAGCAAGCUUCGGGUUAGGAGAACUUGAUCCCGCAGGUACAAGCUUGGAGUAGACACCGACAGGCCGGGCUUCCUCCACUCUACACCUCCACUCUAUCUCUCUCAAUCUAGUAGAAACUAGAAGAUCUAUUUCUACCUUACAUUGAUUGCUAAGCCUAAAAAGAAAUAUUAAUUAGAGAAGAGGUUUUCCCUCGAGGGCACCCCUCAGUCUCUAUGAUAAUUUCUUCAUGUCUUCUCCAGGGGCCAGGGGGGCCUUGCUUAUAUAGUCCUCCCCUUCUAUGCGUUUUUGGGUCGAUAGGCGAGGUGGUACUAUGUUUUUCUUGAUCCAAUAGGUCGGUGGAAUAUCCCGAGCGAAGGAGUCCUGAAUUGACUCCAGCAGGGGGGCGGGCGCCCAGGCUACCAGGGCGGGCGCCCUGGGCCUGGCCCAGCUUCGCCUCCGCUUCGGUCUCGUGGCUUCUGGAGUCUUCUAGAUGAUGUAAAAUUACGCGGUGCGUUGAUAUCUCUAUGUAAUCCCGACAUGUGGGCCUUUCUUUCUUAUUUCCUGAUAACCCCCUGCAGAAAUAGAUAAACAACAAAACUCGUGGAAUUCUGUCAGAUCAAACCCUAAUUCUAGGUGAUGGUUGCAUAUUGGUCCUUUCUCAUGUUUAUUUGAUAAUUAAAAUUGAUACUUAAGAACCAUCAACAACUACCACCCCGACAAGGUAGUCGCCCCUGGCGUCUACCCGCUCGUCGUCGACCCCAUCAUCGUCAACGCCAGGCUCUCAAAGGUGUUGAUGGACGGCGGCAGCAGCCUCAACAUCAUCUACCUCGAGACCCUCGACCUCCUCAGCAUCAAAAGGUCGCAGCUCCAACCAAGCACUGGAGGCUUCCACGGCGUCGUUCCUGGGAAGAUGGCGUUACAGGUAGGUCGAAUCGACCUACCGGUCUGCUUUGGCAUGGCGGCCAAUUUUAGGAAGGAGAUCCUCACCUUUGAGGUGGUGGGGUUCCGAGGCACAUACCACGCCAUUAUCGGACGCCCUGGCUUCGCCAAAUUCAUGGCGAUUCCCAACUACACGUACCUAAAGCUGAAGAUGCCCGGGCCCAAGGGCGUCAUCACCGUCAGCUCCUCCUACGAGCAAGCGUAAGAGUGCGACGUCGAAUGCGUCGAGUACGGCGAAGCACUCGAGGGUUCCGCCGAGCUCGCCUCAAAGCUCAAGGCCCUGGCUGCAGAGGCCCCAGAGCCCAAACACCAUGCGGGCAGCUUCGAGCUGGCAGAAGGAACCAAGAAGAUCCCGCUCGACCCCAACAACUCCCACGGUAAGGCGCUGACGAUCAGCGCCGACCUCGACCCCAAAUAGGAAGCUGUGCUCGUCGACUUUCUCCGUGCAAACACUGACAUGUUUGCAUGGAGUCCCUCGGACAUGCCUGGCAUACCGAGGGAAGUCGUCAAGCACUCCUUGGAAAUUCGAGCCGGUUCCAAGCCAGUGAAGCAACGGUUGCACCGAUUCGACGAGGAGAAGCGCAAGAUCAUUGGCGAGGAGAUCCAAAAGCUUUUGAUGGCCAGAUUCAUCAAGGAUUUUCACCAUCCCGUCUGGUUAGCAAACCCUGUACUAGUUAAGAAUAAGAAUGGAAAAAUGAGGAUGUGUGUCGAUUAUACAAGUUUAAAUAAAGCAUGUCCGAAAGUUCCUUUUCCAUUACCACGUAUUGAUCAAAUUGUCGAUUCUACUGCGGGAUGUGAAACCCUUUCUUUCCUCGAUGCAUAUUAUGGCUACCACCAAAUAAAAAUGAAAGAGUCCGAUCAGCUCGCGACAUCUUUCAUCACACCUUUCGGGAUGUAUUGUUAUGUAACCAUGCCGUUCGGGCUUCGAAACGCGGGGGCUACGUUCCAGCGAUGCAUGCUCCACGUGUUUGGCAAGCACAUAGGGUCGACGGUUGAAGCCUAUGUCGACGACAUCGUCGUCAUGUCAAAGCAGCGGGGAGACCUGAUCCAGGACCACGAGAUUGCUUUUAGCUGCUUACGCGCCAACCAGAUCAAGCUCAACCCUGAGAAGUGCAUUUUCGUCGUGCCUCGAGGCAUGCUCCUGGGUUACAUCGUUUCCCAGCGCGGCAUCGAGGCCAACCCCGAGAAUGUCUCAGCCAUCACAAGAUGGGGCCGAUCCGAGACAUCAAGGGCAUGUAGGGAGUCACAGGAUGCCUAGCGGCGCUGAGUCGUUUUAUCUCGAGGUUGGGAGAAAAGGCGUUGCCACUGUAUCGACUUCUGAAGAAAGUCGAGCGCUUCUCUUGGACCCCAGAGGCUGAGGAAGCACUCGAUAACUUGAAGAAAACUCUGACCUCUGCACUAGUGCUAGUCCCGCCUCAACCCGCAGAACCUCUGCUUCUAUACGUCGCAUCGACGACCCAGGUCGUCAGUGCAGCAGUAGUGGUCGAGAGGCAGGAGGAGGGGCAUGCACUGCCAGUCCAGAGGCUGGUCUAUUUAUUCAGCGAAGUACUCUCAGAGACCAAGGCGCAUUACCCGCAGAUCUAGAAGCUAAUCUACGCCGUAAUCCUCGCCCGACGCAAGCUGCAGCACUACUUCCUCGGCCACCCUAUCACGGUGCUCUCGUCUUUCCCCUUGGGCGAGAUCAUCCAAAGUCGGGAGGCCACGGGAAGAAUCGCCAAGUGGUCAGUCGAGCUCAUGAGUGUUGACGGUCCUUAAUGCUCAUAUUUAACCAUCAAUUAAUCAUAGAAAAGGAUCCAAAUGCAACCAACACCUAGACUUAGGGUUUUAUCCGACAGAAUUCCACAAGUUUUGGUGUUUGUCUAUUUCUGCAGGGGGUUAUCAGGAAAUACGGAAUAAAGGCCCACACGUCGGGUUUACAUAGAGAUAUUAACGUGCCGCACAAUUUUCUACCAUCUAGAAGACUCCAGAAGCCACGGGAACGAACGGGAGGCCGAUCGGGCUCGGAGGCAGGGCGCCCGCCCAACUCUCCUGGGCGCCCGGCCAGCUACAGUGUCCAAUUCGGACCCGUUUCGCGUAUUAUGCUCCACCGACCUAAAGGAUCAAGGAAAAUCGUGCGAUCAAUGUCGGUUUGAUCCGACGGCCCAGAUUCACUUGAAGGGACUAUAAAACCAGACCCCCUUGGCCCCUGGAGAUCAUACCUCUUCUACAGAAUCAAAGCUAGGGUUUCAAUUCUUCAUCCAAGUAGAGAGGAUCUGAUGCGUCACGUUGUCCCGAUCUUCACGACGUAGGAAGAACAUCGAUAACUAGCUGAAGAACAGCCGGAUAAGUUGCUGCAAGCAGCGAUAACUAGUGCAACCUGGCAAAUAAAACUCGAAGCCAACCACCGUCUUUAACCGGCAACCUGAAUCGAGGAUUCGCCCAACCACACUCUCAAGGAACCAACCAACACAGCCUACAAUCAAUCAAGGAAUACCUUGAAGGGAGUAGGAGCACCAAUUGGGAGCGGAUGAAGCCACCGCCUAUGUAAUCCCGCGAGGAAAUCACAAGAGCAAAGGGGUAGAGAUCACUCUCUGGAUUUGUUAGCACGCAGCUGAACAAAGGGGUUCUGUAUUUCAAUUAUCAAAGUCUUAGAUUACAAUGAGUCUUAGGUGGUAUUUAUACUAGCAACAGCCCUGCUAGAUAGGUAUGAAAACGAAAUAGAGUUUCUGAGGGAAGUCAAUGUGAAAGGUCCGCUCGAAAUGGAUUCCCGAAGUGGCUUCGCGUGACUGUUGGCCUCCAGAGCAGUUUCUAAUAAACUGACCAUAACUUUUUAUUGGGAAGUCCAAAUGAUGAACCGUUUCUUGGGUGUGAAACUAGACUCAAAGGGCUUUCCACCAAUGUAUGCGUACCAGCACGAAACAUUGUAGAUUGGUACAGUUUUACUUGGCAAUUUGUACCAACAUUCUGUCACGACAGACUGUUGACCUUCUGAGCAGUCUGUACUAAUUCUGGUCUGCAGGCAAUAUGGAGUAUCCAAACUGGUCGCCACUAGAUUCAUUGGAAAGUAGACUCGUCAAGCUUUCCAACAAAUGCUCAUGGACCUUCAUAGCUUUUGUGAGCAAAAAGUUAUGAAGAUUCUUUGCACUGGUCCGUUUUUGACUUCCACUGGUCCGUUUUUGACUUCUUCUGGAACUUGCACUGGUCCGUUCUUCAUGGUCCGAUUCUUCCUUCUCUUCUUCUAUAUACCUGAGUACAAUCAAGGUACAACACUUAGGUAGUAUAUAAUUAUCAUUAAUGUUAAAAUGAAUCUCACAAAGUAGCACGUGGACCUCUUGUUGUAGCUUCUUUGCACGACUACGUGUAAUCGGUCCAUCGAUGACUUGAGCUGGUGUCGGUGUAGGUGAAACUUGAGUUGGUGUAGCUUGACUUGGAGCUUGUGACAUCUUGCUUGGUGGCGUGGUCAUAUCAUCCUCCCCCCCUUGAAAAGGAGUCGUCCUCGACUCUAAAGUGUCUUCACUUGUGAAUGGUGAGAGAUCAGCAACAUUGAAUGAGUUGCUCACGCCAUAACUUGCAGGAAGAUCAAUCUUGUAUGCAUUGUCAUUGAUCUUCUCAAGAACACGAAAUGGACCAUCUCCUCGUGGCAGCAAUUUUGAUUUGCGCUGUUGAGGAAAGCGAUCCUUGCGCAAGUGUAUCCACACCAAGUCCCCGGGUUCAAAUAACACCUUCUUCCUAUGUUUGUUCAUACUUGCAACCUUGCGUCCUGCCUUGAGUUCAAUUGCUUCCUUGGUCUUCUCGUGUAUCUUCUUGAUGUAUGCAGCACGCUUGGAGGCUUCCAUAUUGGUUCUUUCCUGCAAUGGAAGGGGCAACAAAUCUAUCAGAGCAAUAGGUUUGAACCCAUAUACAAUUUCAAAAGGACACAUAUUAGUGGUAGAGUGUACUGCCCUGUUAUAUGUAAACUCCACAUGUGGCAAACAUUCCUCCCAAACCUUCAGGUUCUUUUUCAUCAUAGUUCGCAGCAACAUUGACAAUGUGCGAUUCACCACUUCAGUUUGUCCAUCGGUUUGAGGGUGACAAGUGGUGGAGAACAAAAGCUUGGUUCCGAGCUUUGCCCAUAACGUUUUCCAAAAAUAGCUCACAAACUUGACAUCACGAUCAGAUACAAUGGUUCUAGGCAUUCCAUGCAGCCGCACAAUUUCCCUGAAGAACAAAUUAGCAAUAUGCGAAGCAUCGUCGCUCUUGUUACAAGGAAUAAAAUGAGCCAUCUUUGAAAAUCUAUCAACCACAACAUAAAUUGAAUCUUUUCCUUUCUGAGUUCUAGGCAACCCCAAGACAAAAUCCAUGCUUAUGUCUUCCCAAGGAGUUUUAGGAGUAGGUAAAGGAGUAUAUAAACCAUGAGGGUUCAGUUUAGACUUAGCUUUGUGACAGGUAACGCAUCGCUCCAUGAAUCUGAUGACAUCUCUUCUCAUCUUGGGCCAAUAAAAAUGAUCUUCUAGCAGCUCAUAGGUUUUUCUUUGUCCAAAAUGGCCUGUCAAUCCUCCCCCAUGAGACUCCUGCAACAAAAGCAAUCUAACCGAAGAAUUUGGAACACAGAUUUUGUUAGCUCUAAACAAAAAUCCAUCAUGUAUAUGAUACUUUUCCCAACCUUUUCUAUUUUUACAAUGAUUAUAUGGUUCUGAAAAUUCAGGGUCAUUACUGUACAGUUCUUUCAAACUUUCAAGUCCCAAAACCUUUACCUCAAGUUGGUUUAGCAACACACUCUUUCGUGACAGAGCAUCAGCAACAACAUUAUCCUUACCUUUCUUAUAUUUCACAAUGUAUGGAAAUGUUUCGAUGAACUCAACCCAUUUGGCAUGACGACGGUUCAGUUUUGCUUGUCCUUUCAAGUACUUCAAAGCUUCAUGAUCAGAGUGAAUAACAAAUUCUUUUGGCCAUAAGUAGUGCUGCCAUGUUUCAAGCACACGCACCAAAGCAUAUAAUUCUUUAUCAUACACAGAAUAAUUCAGUUGAGCACCUCCUAGUUUUUCACUAAAAUAUGCUACAGGUUUUCCUUGUUGCAUUAAAACUCCUCCUAUCCCAAUUCCACUAGCAUCACAUUCUAUUUCAAAAGUUUUAGUGAAAUCAGGAAGAACAAGUACAGGUGCUUCAGUCAAACGUUUCUUUAAUUCUUGAAAUGCAUUUUGUUGUGAUUUUUCCCAUUUAAAGUCAACACCUUUCUUUGUCAAUUCAUUCAAAGGAGCAGCGAUGGUACUGAAAUCUCUCACAAACCUUCUAUAAAAACCAGUAAGGCCAUGAAAACUUCUUACUUGACUUACAUUUGUUGGAGUUGGCCAAUCCUUGAUGGCUUUCACCUUGCUUUCAUCCACUUCUAUGCCCUUUCCUGAUACAACAAAGCCAAGAAACACAACAUGGUCUGUGCAAAAACUGCACUUCUCAAGAUUAGCAAAUAAUUUCUCCUUUCUAAGCUCUUCCAAGACUUGCCGAAUAUGAUUCACAUGUUCCUCAAAAGACUUGCUGUAAGUUAAGAUAUCAUCGAAGUAGACAACAACAAAUUUUCCAAUGAAAGCUCUCAAGACAUGGUUCAUUAAUCUCAUGAAGGUACUAGGAGCAUUAGUCAAACCAAAAGGCAUAACUAACCAUUCAUACAGCCCAAAUUUUGUUUUAAAUGCAGUUUUCCAUUCAUCCCCUGUUUUCAUUCUUAUUUGAUGGUAUCCACUUCUCAAAUCAAUUUUAGUGAAUAUGUUGGAACCACUUAAUUCAUCAAGCAUGUCAUCUAAACGUGGGAUAGGAUGGCGAUAGCGAACAGUGAUGUUAUUUAUAGCUCUACAAUCAACACACAUUCUCCAAGAACCAUCUUUCUUAGGUACUGAAAUUACAGGAACAGCACAAGGACUUAAACUUUCACGAACAAAACCUUUAUCAAGAAGUUCUUGCACUUGCCUUUAUAUCUCCUUUGUUUCUUCUGGAUUGGUUCGGUAUGGUGGUCGAUUAGGUAGUGCAGCCCCUGGAAUGAGAUCAAUUUGAUGCUCAAUCCCACGAAUUGGAGGUAGUCCCGCCGGUGUUUCUUCUGGAAAAACAUCUCCAUAGUCCUGCAAAAGAUGAGACACAACACUAGGAAGAGAGGUCAUGUCGUUAGCUGAAAUUAAAAUGUCUUUGUAUACAAGUACAAAGAGCACUUGUUCGGGGUUGUUCCUCACUUCUCUCAUUUCAGAUUUUGUGGCUAGCAUGACUAAAUUCUCUCCCUCUCCUUUCUUUUUCUCCCUCAAAUUUGGCUUGUGGCACUCACUCACCGAAUUGUGGAUGGCACUCAGUUUCUUUUGCUCUCCUUCCUCUCUACUCACUCGAACAAUUUCAGAUUUCUUUUGUAAAUGUUCAGCCAUGAUUUGUUGGGGUGUCAUAGGCUUGAGAACAAACUUCUUUCCCGUUAGAUUGAUAGUAAACUGAUUUGUUCUCCCACAAUGUUGGCUAUAUCGAUCAUAUUGCCAUGGCCUUCCAAGCAGCAAGUGACACACCGACAUGGGCGCCACAUCACACUCUACUGUGUCAACAUAUUCACCAAUCUUGAAUGGAAUGUUUACUUUAUAUCCAAUCUUGAUAUCUCCCGAAUCAUUCAGCCACUGUAUAUGAUAUGGAUGAGGGUGUCGUAGCAGCUUCAGGCCAAGUUUAUCAGCCAUCUCACGACUAGCAAGAUUAUGGCAGCUCCCUCCAUCAAUAAUCACCUUCACCACCUUAUCAUGUACCUUUGCUCUGGUUUCAAAUAAAUUAUGUCGCUGCCCAUUUUCAGCUUCUUUCAUUUGAACACUCAAGAUUUGAGUCACCACAAGAGCAGCACCAUGCUCAAAUUCACAGCCAGUAUGUUCCUCAUCUUCAUGGGCUUCACCAACAUGUUCUUCCUCAGCUUCCUCUUCACUAGCUGAUUCUAAUUCUCCACUAUCAUUCACAAUGACCACACGAUUAUUUGGACACUCUCUUGAUACAUGUCCACAGCCUCCACACUUGAAGCACUGAAUUCCACUACUCUUGGAAGUGGAACCCACUGAAGUAGUGUUUGAUGCUGCUGGUUUUGAACUUGGGACAGCAGUGUUCUUUCCACUAAAAGUACCCUGAAAAUUAGAUCGUGAGCCUCCACUUGAGCCUUUCACCAGGGAUGGUUCAGCAGAAAACUUGGUGAUUGAUUUGCUUCCUCCAGAGAUGUUCCUCAUACCAAAGGACAAGGACUUGCUGCUCUUAGCUUCUUGCUGCAAUUGACGUUAAGCUUUGGUUGCUUGAUGUACCAAAUCAAUAAGAUAUCGGUAUGGCUGAAACUCAACAAUGCGCUGAAUAUUGCGAUGCAGCCCAGCCAUAAAACGUGCAAUAGUUUGCUCUUCAUCUUUAUACACAUUGGCUCUAAUCAUAGAUUUCUCCAUCUCCUUAUAAUACUCUUCAACAGAGAGACUUCCUUGCUUCAAAUUCUGCAAUUUAUCAAAAAGAUCACGCCGAUAGUGCUUCGGCACAAAACGACUUCUCAUUUCUCUCUUCAUUUCAUCCCAAGUUGCAAUAGGAUGUCUUCCAUCUUCUUCAUGAUCACUGAGGAGCUGCUCCCACCAUAUUAGAGCAUAUCCUUCAAACUCCAGAGAUGCCAUUGCCAGCUUCUCUUCUGAAUAAUUAUGCAAGCGAAAGAUUUUAUCCACUUUCAGCUCCCAAGUGAAAUAAGCUUCAGGAUCAGACCCACCAUCAAACUUUGGCAUGGUAAACUUCAGUUUUCCUAGCCUCUCCUCAUGAUUGCCUCUUCUACGAUGUCGACGACCAUAUCGAUAUUGAGAAUGAUCAUCAUCAUCCUCUUUUUCAGAUUCUUCAUUAUCAUGAUUUCUUCGACCUUGACCUCUUCCCCUACCUCGGUUCUUCCUUCCUUGUUCCCCUGAGCUUCUACUAGCAGCACUUCUAUCACUCAUAUCUCCAUCUUCACCAUGGUUGCUUGCUCCAUCAUGAGGUUGGCGACGCCUUCUGAUUUCAGUCAUAAGGUUCUGAAGAUCUUGUGUCAACCUAUCUUGCUUUUCUUCUAUGCUUUGUCGGAGUUCAUUAAAUUGUGCCAAAGUGACACAAUCCUCUAUUCCAUCACCCAUCUUCCUGUAAGGUUAGCUGAAUACAAAUAAUUUGUAUUUGUGGAAUAUGAAAAUUUGGUGGCCCUCACAACUCACCUCUCUAACCACCAAGGCUCUUAUGAAUUCCUCUGCUGCAGAUUACAAUGAAAACAAAUGUGUGGUGGCAACUGAAAAUGAUGGCGAGGCGAAUACAAGAACAGAGAGUACCGAUUACGAUGGUUUUUUUAUGUGGAGCUUGGUGGGGAGUAAUACACAAGGAAUGCAAUCUGAAUUCUAGUUGUUGUAAAGUUAAGUAACGAUCCAAACUAGAAGUUCUCUGCCUAGUGCUGAUCAAAAGAUUCGAAGUGUAUAAAUAGAUCACACACAAGCAAAGAAAUUUCAGAACUGAUGCAAACAAGGAGUAUGAUUGGGAUGCAAGUGUUGCAAUCAGACCCAACCAAAGUUUUGCACCAAACAAAGAUAGCAAACUAGUUGUAGAACUUGAUAUGAAACUUUCAGCACUUGUGCACAUAAACCAACUAAUCUUUCAGACUUUCUCUCUGAACCUUUCUCAACUUUUUUUUCACUUCACUUUUUUUUUGCACUUUCUUUUCUUUUUUUUGACACACUUUUUUUAUAUAUAUAGAACUAAAAACAGGGAUCAGAUUAUGAUACUUGCACAACUAAAGACAGAAAUAAAACAACAACCAGUAGCUAGAUAUGAUCAAAGUUAACACAAAGGAUGAUAUAGGCUAUAGAGAUUUUUUUUUGUGGGGAUUUUUAGAUAUAAAAGAGGCACAAAGAACACGCAAAGGAUAUGAUGAUCAGCAACUAUAACAAAGACUCUAAUGGACUGCGACUUAACCGAACUCACUAAAAUAACAGAUUGAAACAAAGGUCUAAGCAAUAUAUUUUUCUGGCUUUUUGGUGGGUAGGACGAAGCAAAAUAUAUAUGUAGCUAGGGAUAAAAUUCCUACCGUGGUAACGAAAGCUUUGAUACCAGAUGAUGCGUCAUGUUGUCCCGAUCUUCACGACGUAGGAAGAACAUCGAUAACUAGCUGAAGAACAGCCGGAUAACUUGCUGCAAGCAGCGAUAACUAGUGCAACCUGGCAAAUAAAACUCGAAGCCAACCACCGUCUUUAACCGGCAACCUGAAUCGAGGAUUCGUCCAACCACACUCUCAAGGAACCAACCAACACAGCCUACAAUCAAUCAAGGAAUACCUUGAAGGGAGUAGGAGCACCAAUUGGGAGCGGAUGAAGCCGCCGCCUAUGUAAUCCCGCGAGGAAAUCACAAGAGCAAAGGGGUAGAGAUCACUCUCUGGAUUUGUUAGCACGCAGCUGAACAAAGGGGUUCUGUAUUUCAAUUAUCAAAGUCUUAGAUUACAAUGAGUCUUAGGUGGUAUUUAUACUAGCAACAGCCCUGCUAGAUAGGUAUGAAAACGAAAUAGAGUUUCUGAGGGAAGUCAAUGUGAAAGGUCCCCUCGAAAUGGAUUCCCGAAGUGGCUUCGCGUGACUGUUGGUCUCCAGAGCAGUUUCUAAUAAACUGACCAUAACUUUUUAUUGGGAAGUCCAAAUGAUGAACCGUUUCUUGGGUGUGAAACUAGACUCAAAGGGCUUUCCAGCAAUGUAUGCCAACCAGCACGAAACUUUGUAGAUUGAUACAGUUUUACUUGGCAAGUUGUACCAACAUUCUGUCCCCACAGACUGUUGACCUUCUGAGCAGUCUGUACUAAUUCUGGUCUGCAGGCAAUAUGGAGUAUCCAAACUGGUCGCCACUAGAUUCAUUGGAAAGUAGACUCGUCAAGCUUUCCAACAAAUGCUCAUGGACCUUCAUAGCUUUUGUGAGUAAAAAGUUAUGAAGAUUCUUUGCACUGGUCCGUUUUUGACUUCCACUGGUCCGUUUUUGACUUCUUCUGGAACUUGCACUGGUCCGUUCUUCAUGGUCCGAUUCUUCCUUCUCUUCUUCUAUAUACCUGAGUACAAUCAAGGUACAACACUUAGGUAGUAUAUAAUUAUCAUUAAUGUUAAAAUGAAUCUCACAAAGUAGCGCGUGGACCUCUUGUUGUAGCUUCUUUGCACGACUACGUGUAAUCGGUCCAUCGAUGACUUGAGCUGGUGUCGGUGUAGGUGAAACUUGAGUUGGUGUAGCUUGACUUGGAGCUUGUGACAUCUUGCUUGGUGGCGUGGUCAUAUCAGGAUCCCUCUAGUUCUUCUAGUUCUACCUCUAGUUCAUCUAGAUCUAGUUCUAGUUCAUCUAGUUCUAGUUCUAGUUCCUCUAGUUCUAGUUCUAGUUAGUUCUAGUUGUAAUCUAGAAAAUAGGGAGAGCGAAGAGGAGAGCGGAGGAGGAGCCGGAUCUGUCGGAUACAUUGUACUUUUGCAGCAACUGGUUCGUUCUUCAUCGUUCUCCAGGUUCUUCAAUUCAUAAUUCCUGAGUUCUUUAAUUACUUUUAUUUACAUUCAAGUUAUUUAUUGGAUUCCCGCUUGCAUCAAGUGCUCUAGUCUUUAUAACGCUAGAGUAGUAAUUAAUAGAUUAGACGUGGUGUUUAGUCUUGCGAUUACCUGGAAUUGCACCCAAUCCCACGGAUUGUUGUGGUAGCCCUAGGGUAGUGACAGCCCUAACGGUCGACGUAUUCCACCACGUUCGGAUCGGUGUUUGUAGGACCGUAGUCAGACCUUCCUAGCCCCCUUCUCAUCUCUUUCUGUGGUUAGUGCUCUGAUGUCCCGAUAUAGAUAAUCUUGAAGUAAUUCUUGAUUCUUAGAUCAACUAGAGAACUCUCAGGAAACUUCCUCUCUUCCCACCAAAAAUAAUUAUAUAGUUAUCCUUGGGCGAUCUUGGAUCUUAAUUAGUACACUCAUGUUCUCUGUGGAAAAUCGAUACUCUGGAAUACUCCCGGGUGAAAGCUACAUCGGUAUCCGUGCGCUUGCGGAUUUUUCUGUUUGCGUUUAAAAUACCCAACAAGCUUUCUGGCGCCGUUGCCGGGGAACGGUAGCUGUGCUAGUUUCGAACCAAGUCGUCCGUGUAUCCUUUUAUUUUCCUUUUUUUUACCACACUCACCUUACUAUUUUCACCAUACCACAUGGAUUUCACUCUAAGCAUUAAUAAGCAUGGAAUUUAUUUCAUAGCCACUUCAUUUACUCCAUGCUCAUAUGCAACAUCUUCACAAUCCAUUGGUCUUUCCAACAUCACCACAUUCGAGAUCUCCAACCCCCUCAUCCUUUCUAUUUAUAAAAACUUUAAAAGGGCGGUUGUCGAUGCAUAUGUCUAUAAGAAAUAUUGCAGAUCUCGUUGAGUUGAUCUUGAUAUAGGUCAGCGUUGGAGGGGAAACCACUUCACCGACAUAAAUUGAUGGUUUCCCAAGGACAAGCUUAGAGUCCUAAAACAAGCACUGAUCAGAUCAUAACUUGAGCUUUUAAUUAUUUGUAUCAUUACCUUGUGUAUUGAGCAUAUAAGGAUAAUUGUAAAAAUAUUCCUUCGGGUAUUCUUGUCACUAACCUUUCCAGGAUUGGAGCAAGAAGAUCGAAUGAAUGACAAGCACAAGGUAUGUCCAACCAAUCAUCAUACAACAUUGAAUUGAAUUCAUCCAAACUUGAAUUUUGCAAAAUUCAAGCUUGGGGGAGUACUUUACAUUAAAACAUCCUUUGCCAUGUUGUUAUGUUGGUUGUCACUACCUUUGAGACAUGCUCAAUUUGUUAAAUACUAAUCACGCUACUUCAUCUCCACUUGAGUAGAUCUCUAUAAAUGCUCUCAUGCUACCUUUAUUUGCUUUAGUAUAUGUUUAGGUUUGGAGUAGUUUCAUUUAUCUCUUAAUUAAGCAUGGUGCUUAGUUUAGGGCUGAUGAUCUUACUUCCAAGGGUUUUUAAAUCAAGCUUGGUGCUUAGGUUAAAAUGCCCUCCUAAAUCAAAUUAGACAUGGUGUCUAGGUUGAUCUUUGAGCCGAUAGUAUGCUAUAGUAGAUAUUGGAUAUUUUGUUGGACUAACCCCUGCAGGAAAACUUUUAAUAUCGACCUGGGAAGUCCUGAGAUAAACUCACAUUGGAGACAAAGAGAGAGGCACAUGAAGUUUAAUAAUUUACACAAGGAAGGCAUAGCUCACAAGAGAUGAUCCAUGGAGGUGCCACAAACACGAUGCACAACCGCUAAGAGAGGAAAGCUUCCACAAGGUGAUACUGUACCACCAUUCUUCAAGUAAGGUAACAUUUUAAGGUACUUGACUAUCACUUCUAUAAGCUUUUCCUUGGUUCUGGCAUUCCAUGAAUAAAAGAGACAAACAUGUAUGAUUUACAACUCUAGAUUAACCAACCCAAUCGAUUCAACAUGUUUAGUCCUUCCACCUUUGUGAUCCCAUACUCCUAAUAUGAGCUAAAAUGUUGCACAUGCAAUCUUUGGAAGAUAUAUAAAAAGAAGAUAAGUAUAGAUAGAUUAUCUUUCCAUUAGGUUGAGUAAUCUGAUCUGACGAAUGUUUUAAAUGCUACACUCAUGAUCUUAUUAUCCAUCAACUUUGUUUUGCUCACUAUGCUUAAGGAUAGAGAAGAAUAAAUACACUUUUGGUUCUGUUGGUGUUUUUCACCAACAGGGCCCAUGCACUUGAUCUCUGCCUUGUCUCUAUGAGCAGGUACACUUUGAGCAAAAUAUGAAGGACUUUUACAACUCCUAGACUCCACAAAGUGAAGAACCUAGAUCUACAAGCACAAACACACUGGAGAUACUGGACACUCAUGCAAACACUGCCCUGAGAUGCUUGAGGAUGUAACUACUGGAGUAACCCCGUUGUGGAAGUAAUUACUGACCUUCUGCCGGUCAAGAGAGACAAUCUAGGAGGCCCCGUCAUCCCAAUCUCCAUCGGCAUGGUGGACUUCCUAGAAGCACUCUGUGACUUUGGCUCCAGCGUCAACUUUAUACCUAGGGGAAGCCAUUCCUGAACACCUCGGGAGCUGUCAUCUACGCUAGUGCUGCCAAGAUCAGUUUCUACAUCAAGGGGAAGAAGGAGAUGUUUUCCUUCAAGAAACAAGGCUACACAAAUCCCAGAGCAAUCCCGACAUGAACCAAGGAAGAGGACCAACAGGAGGAACAAGAACAAGCAAAUGUGUACCGAGUCAGCUAAGAUGGUCACUGCAGCUCAAGGAGGUCAAGAUCGUCAACUCAAAUCACCUUUCUUGAUCAAGAAGGACGACCCUGGUGUCCCAAGCAUCGAGUGCACAAUCAAUAGAUAUUCUUUUCAGAAGACACUCUACGACACCGGAUCUAACGUCAACAUAAUGGCCGCAGUCACUUAUCAGCUCCUGUAUGGAACCAUGUCCCUACAACCAACAUACAUUCAGCUUCAGAUGGCAGAUCAGACAUUCUGAAAGAUUGAAGGUUAUUGACAUGGGAGAAGACGAGUACGAUCCACCCAUCAUCAUUGGAAGACCGUUCUUUAGCACCAUUAAAGCAAUCAUAUACAUUGGAACCAGAGAAGUCCACAUGCACUUCCCCUCUGAGAAGGUACGCCGCUGUUUUACUGACCCUAACUAUAUAGUUGAAGACUCUAAGCAGGUCAGGACAAGAAGAAGACGACGCAACCGCAACCAGAGGAGGCAAAUUUCAAGGACGGAUGGGCAGACUAUGAAGGAGAAGUAGUAAGGUCUGAAGACAUACAGCUUGAACAGAAUUUUCCUGAGGAGACCGUAGCACCGAGUCAAGUGUGGACAGAGAAAAUAGUUAUACAUGAAGAGUACGCGCCGCCGGAACCACCGACUACGCCAUCCAGCGAAUUCCAGGAUGAUUGAGAAAACGGAGAAUCCUGUUCGGAGGACUUAAAGACACCAAACGCCUUGCCAAGAGGUAAACUUGGUAGUUAUCUUUUUUCUUUCAACUAUUUAAAAUAGUUUUCUUAGUUAAUUAGGUUCAUAUCAUCUUGAAAAGAAAAUAAAAAUGUAAAAAUAGUAAGGCCCAUGUGAGUAUGCUCAUGGCAUAAAACGCAUAAGUACAUUCACUGUGGUGGCAUAAAAAUAAAAUAAAUAUAUUCCUAUCCUAUAAAAAUAAAAUUAUAAAAAUAAAUUUAUGAUCCUACUGAAGAGAGUAACAUUUAUUGAGGAGGCUCAACAUGAUAAAGGCUAGAUACUUAUGCUAACACUUAACUAGUUCCACAAAGCUUUGUUGUCUAUUUGAGCUCCACAGAAUUCAAGGAUCAAAGAAGACUAGCAGACGGAGGACAUCCUAAUCGCUGUCAGGGUGCUGCCACAUUCAAAUACACCUCCGCCACCUGCUAGCUACAUCAGAAGGAAUUACGUCAAAACCCAGCUUGGGGGAGAGCAACCCCAUUUAUCCAGCUAAGUACUCUACUCAUGUUUAUACUUUACUUAAAUAAUAAAAAAGAUGCACAAUCAUAAAAACCCAAAUAAAGAUUUUGUGCUUAUAUAUAUAUAUUUGCUUAGUUUGCUAAAUAAAUAAAUAAAUAAAAUUUGCUAUGAACCCUCAUGAUAAGCUCUCACAUGGAAAGAUGAAUAGUUGCUCUGCCAUGACUGUUAUUAAUUAAGAUUUGCUCUAAACCUGAACUUGUGGGGAGAGUACUUCAUCUAAAGUCUAAGUCGUUAACGGAUACGAUAUGGGAAGGUUGAGCUGUUGUUUAUCUGUUCCUAGAGAUGCUAGAAUUCUGGAGAAUUUUAUCUUUGAAAAUCUUUAAAAUGUUACAUGAUGAGUUCCUGUAUGAUGAGAGUUUAAAUUCCUACCACAGCCAUAUAUACAUGCUUGCUAGACUUUGAGCCACACAUUUACUUUUUACUACUUAUGAGCAUUGAGUGUGGUCAAGCUGUGUAGACCCUUAGGAGCUUGUCAUGUGGUUAAAUCAAGAUUCACUUGCACGUUCACUCACACAUGCUACUUCUACUCCAGAAGUACCAUCCACAUAUAUAUAUCCAUUUCCAUCUCUAGAACCACCCAAAAAUAUUCUACUCCUAAUCCGGGAGAGAAUAGCCAAAAAUAUUCCUGUUUUUCCCUGUGAAAUAAAUGCUCAAGUUAUCUUGUUACUACCACUUGCUAUAUUAUCUCAUGAGAUGAGUGCUCUAAAAAAAAGAAAAAAAUAUAUAUAUAUAUACGAGGAAAUAAAAAGGGGCAAGUGCCCGGAACCUCGAAGAAAAGAAAAAGUGAGACGAGAGGUAAAAAAGGACAAGUGUCCGAUAGUAGAAUUAGGGGUACAAGAUACCCACCUGAGAGAAAAGAAAAAAAGAAAAUAUAGAGCAUCUCAUUCUCCUUAAAAAGUUUCAAAAGUGCAAGAAAGGUAUGUAUCCCCUCAAAAGAGCAAAGUAGAAUUAGACUUUCACCAUUGUUAUCACCAUCAUCACCAUACACCAUUCAUUCGCCACACAUGCACAUCUUGAUUUGACUUAUUGACUUGUUCUUUUGGAUCCAUGGUUUGACUAUGCAAUAAAUGUCUUGUAAGUAUGUAUUAGUUGUCUCCCACCUAUGAGCUCCAGAUAUCAAAAACCUUAUUAGAGUAGGGUGAGAGAGAAGGCAAUGCCACUAUGCCUUAUACCACAAAUACCACAUACUUUGAGAGAAGGCAUAUACCAAUACUGCCUUGGUAAGGAUCCAGAAAUACUACAAAAGAGAGACUAGAGAGAGUCAUACAAGGAAUCUCUGAGUUUUAUUUGAAAAUCUGCAAAAACUCCAGAGCUAUAGCUGAUCAAGAAUAAGAGACAUGGUGCUUGACUAGACCGUUCUAUCUUUUAACUACUUAAGAUAGAAGUGAUGGUUACAAGUCCCAUGGUGAAAGGUAAAUGAGUAAGUUUUAAGUCUUAACAGUUUACUCUAACCAGAGAUGAGAUCUUGUUUAAACGCAUGUGUAUCUUUAAGUUAUGAAACCACUGCAGAAACUCUUGAGUCAAUCUUUGCUCAGGGACGAGCAAAGGUUAAGCUUGGGGGAGCUUGUUGACGGUCCUUAAUGCUCAUAUUUAACCAUCAAUUAAUCAUAGAAAAGGAUCCAAAUGCCACCAACACCUAGACUUAGGGUUUUAUCCGACAGAAUUCCACAAGUUUUGGUGUUUGUCUAUUUCUGCAGGGGGUUAUCAGGAAAUACGGAAGAAAGGCCCACACAUCGGGUUUACAUAGAGAUAUUAACGUGCCGCGCAAUUUUCUACCAUCUAGAAGACUCCAGAAGCCACGGGAACGAACGGGAGGCCGAUCGGGCUCGGAGGCAGGGCGCCCGCCCAACUCUCCUGGGCGCCCGCCCAGCUACAGUGUCCAAUUCGGACCCGUUUCGCGUAUUAUGCACCACCGACCUAAAGGAUCAAGGAAAACCGUGCGAUCAAUGUCGGUUUGAUCCAACGGCCCAGAUUCACUUGAAGGGACUAUAAAACCAGACCCCCCUGGCCCCUGGAGAUCAUACCUCUUCUACAGAAUCAAAGCUAGGGUUUCAAUUCUUCAUCCAAGUAGAGAGGAUCCCUCUAGUUCUUCUAGUUCUACCUCUAGUUCAUCUAGAUCUAGUUCUAGUUCAUCUAGUUCUAGUUCUAGUUCCUCUAGUUCUAGUUCUAGUUAGUUCUAGUUGUAAUCUAGAAAAUAGGGAGAGAGAAGAGGAGAGCGGAGGAGGAGCCGGAUCUGUCGGAUCUUCCUCAACAUUGUACUUUUGCAGCAACUGGUUCGUUCUUCAUCGUUCUCCAGGUUCUUCCAUUCAUAAUUCCUGAGUUCUAUAAUUACUUUUAUUUACAUUCAAGUUAUUUAUUGGAUUCCCGCUUGCAUCAAGUGCUCUAGUCUUUAUAACGCUAGAGUAGUAAUUAAUAGAUUAGACGUAGAGUUUAGUCUUGCGAUUACCUGGAAUUGCACCCAAUCCCACGGAUUGUUGUGGUAGCCCUAGGGUAGUGACAGCCCUAACGGUCGACGUAUUCCACCACGUUCGGAUCGGUGUUUGUAGGACCGUAGUCAGACCUUCCUAGCCCCCUUCUCAUCUCUUUCUGUGGUUAGUGCUCUGAUGUCCCGAUAUAGAUAAUCUUGAAGUAAUUCUUGAUUCUUAGAUCAACCAGAGAACUCUCAGGAAACUUCCUCUCUUCCCACCAAAAAUAAUUAUAUAGUUAUCCUUGGGCGAUCUUGGAUCUUAAUUAGUACACUCACGUUCUCUGUGGAAAAUCGAUACUCUGGAAUACUCCCGGGUGAAAGCUACAUCGGUAUCCGUGCGCUUGCGGAUUUUUCUGUUUGCGUUUAAAAUACCCAACAAUGAGUGAGACUCUCACUUACGCGCCCCGCAAAGCUAUCAAAUCACAGGCCUUGGUGGAUUUCGUCGCAGAAUGGACAGACUCCCAGCUCCCCCCGGCUCAGGUCCAGGCAGAGCUGUGGACGAUGUACUUUGGCGGGUCUCUCAUGAAGACAGGAGCUGGGGCGAGCCUGCUAUUCAUCUCGCCCCCGGGCGUUCAUAUGAGGUACGUCAUCAGGAUACAUUUUGCCGCAUCCAACAAUGUUGCAGAGUACGAGGCGCUUAUCAAUGGUCUGAAGAUCGCCAUCGAGCUGGGAGUCCGAUGCCUCGACGUUCGAGGCGACUCCCAGCUCGUCAUCGACCAAGUGAUGAAGACCUCGAGCUGCCACGAGCCGAAAAUGGAGGCGUACUGCAAGGAGGUCCGUCGGCUCGAGGACAAGUUCCACGGCCUCGAGCUCGUCCACGUCGCUCGACGCUACAAUGAGGCGGCCGACGAACUCGCCAAGAUCGCGUCGACUCGAGGCACGGUGCCACCUGACGCGUUCCCAAGAGAUCUACACGAGCCAUCCAUCGACUUGGGCUUGGGGGCUAGUGUCAAGACCGCUCCUGCCCGACAAGCCGAUGCCGUCGAAGUGCUGCUAAUUGCAGCCGAGGUGACGGAGUCGGAACAGCGCCCCAGUCGACCAUUUGACUGGCGCACGCCAUUCCUCGACUACCUGAUCUGCUGUGAGCUGCCAGAAGAUCGAUCCGAGGCCCGCCGUAUCGCUCGACGGGCCAAGUCAUAUGUAAUCUAUGGCGAGGACAAUGAGCUAUAUCACCAAAGCCCGACGGGGGUCUUGCAGCGUUGUAUCACCGUGGAAGAAGGCCGAAAACUCCUCGAGGAUCUACACUCGGGGGCUUGUGGCCACCAUGCUGCUCCUCGGACCCUCGUAGGGAACGCCUUCCGACAAGGCUUCUACUGGCCAACGGCCAUAGCUGAUGCCAUCGAGCUCGUACGCUCAUGCCAUGGGUGCCAAUUCUACGCCAAACAGACGCACCUGCCUGCCCACGCUCUCCAAAUGAUCCCUAUCACAUGGCCAUUUGCGUUUUGGGGGCUCGACUUAGUAGGGCCUCUACAAAAGGCAAAAGGGGGGUACACCCACUUGUUAGUGGCCAUCGACAAAUUCUCCAAAUGGAUCGAGGCUUGACCCAUCACCAACAUCCGCUCCGAGCAGGCCGUCCUUUUCUUCACCGACAUCAUCCACCAGUUUGGGAUUCCCAACGUCAUCAUCACCGACAACGACACUCAGUUCACCGGCAAAAAGUUCUUGGACUUCUGCGAUCAGCAUCACAUCCGUGUGAACUGGUCUGCAGUGGCCCACCCUCGAACUAACGGCCAGGUUGAGCAUGCCAACGGCAUGAUUUUGCAGGGGCUCAAACCAAGGAUUUAUAAUCGCUUGAAGAAAUUCAGCAAGAAAUGGGUCGAGGAGCUUUCCUCGGUCCUAUGGAGCUUAAGGACGAUGCCGAGCAGGGCCACAAAAUACACCCCAUUCUUCAUGGUCUAUGGCUCUGAGGCUGUGCUCCCAACGGACCUCGAGUAUGGGUCCCCUCGACUCAAAGCAUACAACGAGCAAUCAAAUAAAGAGACUCAAAAGAACGCGGUCGACCAACUCGAGGAAUCUCGAGACAUGGCCCUUCUCAACUCUGCCAGAUACCAGCAGAAACUUCGACGCUACCACGACAAGCACGUGCGCAAGAGGGACUUGAACGUGGGCGACCUCAUCCUACGACGGUAGCAAAGCAAUCAAGGACGCCACAAGCUGACUCCACCUUGGGAGGGCCCAUACGUAGUGGCCGAGGUCUUGAAGCCGGGGACAUACAAGCUCGCGGACAAAAAGGGGGCGAUCUUCACCAACGCGUGGAACAUCGAACAGCUACCUCGAUUCUACCCCUAGAAUUUCAAAGCUUUAUGUUCCCAUGUACGUUCUGUACCAAGGCCUUGUAUACGAGCGCAUGAAUAAAUAAGGUUUUUCCCUCGAGCAAUUUACUUUUUUCAAGAAUCAAAAUCUCGACGUUAGAAGGGAGUACCAACUAUGACCCAUCAUAGUCGAUACCCCCUCGGGGGCUAGCAAGGGGGUAAUACCCCCCCAAGUGCCGAAAAAAACCAAGUAACCCUUUCGUUCCUAUCAGUGAUCCCAUACGGUCGAGUAGUAAAGGCACCUCAAGCCCCUUAAGGAUCGAGAGACGACGAGCCUGAGAACUCCUACGCCCCCGGGCUAAGGAAACUCUAGUCGCUUCCUCACCCUUGAGGCAAUCGAGAUCGCCUUAAACAAAAGAGCAAACGAGGAACACAAACAUAAGCGCAAGGGGAAAUAAAGGAGCCUCGAGCGGAAAGACAGAUAAACAUUUGACAACCACUUAAAGACAUUGUAUUACUUAAAGACAAGUUAACAGAGUACUAUACAAGGGGCCCCAGGCACCCAGAGCAGGCUCGCAGGCAUUAGUCCGCAUCACGGUCCUCACCACCCUCGCCUGCGCCUGAGCUAGUCUCAGGGGGAAGUACCUCGGGCUCAAAUAGCUUGGUCAGCCUCUCCCCAGGGACCUCCGCGUCGUCGAUCAAGGCGUGGAGCCUCUCCUUGUUCUCCGCAUCAGUCUUGGAGAUGUCGGUGACAAAACCAUGAGACACCACGUCCAUAUCAUAGGAAAAGCCCGAGCAGACAACUGCCAUUGCCCGUUUUACCCCGAUAUGGAGAGCGUCCCGCACCCGAUCCCUUAGCGUCGCGCCUAAGUAGCACAACUGAUCGACCAGAGCGUCGCCUCGAGCUUCCUCCUUCGACUCGUCCAUGGGCUCGACCUCCCAAGAGGUUGAGAGAUCGCUUAUCGCCGUCCGCAGUCGACGGUUCAAAGCAACCUCCCCCUCGAGCUGGGCCUUGGCGGUACGAGCCUCGACUUGGGCGGCCAAGAGCUCGUCUUUGAGCCCUGUAAAUGCCAAUGCAAAAAAGUUUAGAUAAAACCAAGCACACCUCAGAAAAGAAACUCGAUAGUAGAAAUGUACCACAGAUGAUCUCCUCCAGAGCCGUGUUUUCGCCAACCAAAUUGGUGUUGGCCCUCUCGACCUCCCCGUUGGAGCGCGCCAGCUCGGUGUUGGUGAUGCGCAGAUCCUCGAUCGCCUUGUCGGCCUGCGCAAUGGCUCCUUCCUUCUCCAGCAGCGCCCUCUUCAGACGAUCAACGUCAUCAGAGACGCUGCGGGAUCGAGCCCGCUCCGCCUCGAGGUCUUCGAGGGCCAUCUUCUUUGCCUCCUCCGCGGCGCUCCUGGCAACCCCGCUGUUCACACACUCCACCUUCAUCCUCUGGAAGGAUUCUCGGAUGGAGUCUAGGUCGGCCCUGAGGAGGCCCUUCUCCUUGUCUAGGUUAGCAACGGUGUUCUUAUAGGACAGGGCCUCCUCCCGGGCUUUGGACGCGGCUUCCUCGACCGUCAUGGCCCGCUCCCUCAGUAGCGCAGCCUCUUCCACAGCCUUCCUUGAGGCCUCUCGAGCCUCGACCAGGGCAGCCUCCCUCCCCUUCUUCUCCUCCUCGAGUGCCAAGACCUCUUUAUAAGCCUUGAGGAGUUUCUCCUGUGACUCCAGGAGUUGGUCCUUGAGGAUCGGGAGCUGCUCCCAGCCGCCUCUCGUGGCGUGGAUGAAGCUCGACUUAAUACGAGAGGUCUCUUUCAGGUCCUGCGAGCCGAUGGUCGAGCAACUAGAACACAAAACCAAAUGCUCUAUAAGGAUUAAGGGCUGCAAAACAUUUACAAAGUAAGCCGGUGCGAGCCCGUUGUUAACCACAUCAAAUAGGAGCCCCACCAUGUGCUUCAUCCACAGGCGAAGCUCCUCGACAUGCUCCCACUUCUCCGCCUCCUUCCGGUCGUCCAAAAAGAUGUUGGGUUCGGACGGGUCAAUGGAAGCCCGGAUGCGGAUCCGGUCGGGACGCCAAUUCUCCAUCUCCUGGUCGGCGCGCGCCUUGACGCCUCGGAUGAGCUCCUCGACGGUUUCGAGAGACCCCCCGUGGCGCAGGAACAGGUCGACGAGAGAGGGGAACCGCCCGUCGUCAUCCACCAUCUUCCACGUCCCAGUCUUGCUCCCACCACCGCCUUCCAACGUCCCGAUCUCAUCUUCCUCGGAGGGGACGCGCUCCUCCCACGAUCGACGCCCCCAGAGGAACCCCGGAGCGAUCCCGUCCAUACUGUAGAUCGUCCUCCUGAUCUCAGAAUCGGGGUCGGCGGGAGUACGCAUCAUACAGGCGAGCGCCACUACGCCGUCCGCCCGCCCUGACUCUGCUGGGAUCGCGGCAGGCGCCCCCAGACGGAGCCACGCUGGGGUCGGAUGUCCAAAAGCUGGCAGGCCCUCCUCCUAGUUUCCAGGCUCAUGCGGCGCUACCGGCUCCGGUUGGGGCAGAUCAAGCGGCUUCGCCAGCUGCUGGCCCCCCUGCUGCUGCUGCUCUUGGAGCUCCUGCGGCUCCUGUCGAUGGUCCUGCUCCUGCGGCUACCACCGCGUCUCCUGCUUGCGCUCCUCCUCCUCUUUCUUCCUCUGCUCCUCAAUAGAGCGAAGCCCGGUGGGCCAGGGCGUCCGUCUCGCGAUGGGAGAGGCGUCGACCUCCUCAUCCAUAGGGCGGCCGUCACUUAUAGUGAUCGGAUCCGCCUCAACCCCCGAUCGGGGAGGCUCGGGGGCUCCCUCUUGCCCUUUUGCCCUUGGGGCUGAGGCGCCUUGGCCCGUUUUGGCGACGACGGGGUAGACUCACCCGCCAGGGGAUGGGGCGGGGCACUCUCGGCGCCAGUCGGUGGUCGAGGGUCGGAGGAGCCUAUAAAAUGAAAAACAAAGGUCAGUCUUUGUGGUGGUCGACGUAAGAACAACACAAAUCCCAUAACAAUGGAAUAAGCAACUAACCUGAAUCCUUGGAGGCCGCUCCCACCUUGAGCCUUUUCGCCAUUGAAGGCUGGGCCGGCUCAAGCGUCCGCUUCAACCCGAGGAAAAAGAAACGGGCAGAAGGGAGACCGUUAUACAAGAAAACACAAAAGAAGCAGGAGAAUGAGAAUCACAGCGUCGAAGAACUUACCCCAUACGGAGCACGGCCCGCCUGCCGGUGCCUCGAACGGCAGGCCUCGGGCCACCCCGCGUCAAGGCUCCAGGCCCCUCGCGGGCAGGCGCAGGCCUUGGCCCAGCGUCUCCCACCUGGCGAGCGCCGGGGCUAGCGCUCCUGCGGCCAGUCUCUCCCUUUUCGGAGGCCACGGCACGGCCAGGGGUCAAUGGCCCCGUCGCCUGGGGCUUAGCUCGGCCACCCGCCUUUGGUGCAGGGGGAGGUUGGGGGCGUGGGGCGGCCCGACUCGGCGCGGGCGCGGGAGGGGUGUCAGCGCGGAGGCGGUGAGAUCCGCCUGGCCCCUCCUUUGGUGCUCCCGUCCGGAGGGUGUUGGGUAUUCUUAACAUCAUUACCAAAAGUAGACUAAGUUGUAAAUCUAGCAACGGUGCCAAAAAUGCCAAACCUAUCCCUCACACCACUAAAGCCAAGUUGUCAUCCCCAGCAUGACAUGAGAGACGCGGUAUUGAAAUAUGCAAUUGCUCUUCUAAAUAAAUAAUGAAUGGGAUCUGCAAGCGCACAGAUUAAUACCGAUGCAGCAUUUUAACCGGGAAGUAUUCUAGGUAUCGUUAUUUAUAUUUUUACCACUGGGAAGGGAUUAAUCAAUCAUCACUAUUGAUUACAGAAUAGAAUAUGAGAUUGAGUAUCUAUCAUUGCAUGUAUAAUUGAGAACAUUAUAUCUAACUCUUCAUACAGGGAUAAGUGUCACAUAAAAGAUAUAGGAAAUGAUAAUAGUGACAAGGAUAACUAAUCUGAUCUAGCCACAUAAUAAAUAUGAUAAGCACCUCAAUUAGAUACUCUAGAAAGUCAUUAGCAUGGUAUUAGAACGAACUACAAGAAUAUUCCCUAAGUUAUUCUUAACUAUAUAGUCUAGCAUAUCAUAGUUAGUGCAAGCAUACUUAGCAAUCAUUGCGAGACAAGACUAAGCCCAUGCAUAUUUAUAUUAGCAAGGAAUAUGAGAAAAACAUAGCAAUCACUCCCCUGUAAUAAUGUUGCUCUGCCAGCCCAAUACACAAGAGGGGGACUAUAUAAGAAUCAAAGAAGCUGUCACUAUCACGAACUACCCCACGAUCUGGCAUAUUGGGUACAAUCGCAGAUAAAUACGGUAUAAGCACCACGCCUACACAAUAUCUAUCAUUUACCCAUGGAUCCGAUGGAUAAACGCUAUACGAUCCUAAGCAUGUAUAUAGAUCGUAUCUAACUAAGCCAAGUACAUAACUAUGAUAAACUAGGAACAAUAUAAUCUUGAAUAUAAGCAAGUAGAGCAAAGUCAUAAGCAAUAUAUUGAAGUAGAACAAAGUCAUAUUCAUAAUAUUGAAGAACAAAGAUAAUUAGAAAGCAAUUAGAAGCACAAUUAGAGAAUUACCAAGAAUCCUCCUGACAGAUCCGGAAACCAAUCGAAGAUUGACUCCUUCUAGUUCUAAUCCUAUGUAGCUAUGCUAAUCUAGAUAUCUAAUUGAUGUGGUGGCUCUAAUCUUGAUCAGAGGCUUCUUCUCCCUUGAUGGAACAAUGAAUUAGGGUUGAGAGGCUCUCUCCUCCAGGGGCCAGGGGGUCUGGUUUUAUAGUCCCUUCAAGUGAAUAUGGGCCCUUGGAUCAAACCGACAUAGAAUGUAUGGUUUAGAUUCAUCCUUUAGGUCGGUGGCGACUUCCCGCAAAGCAGAGUCCUGAUUGGACUCCAGAGGUGGGCGGGCGCCCUGACCAACUGGGCGGCCGCCCAGGGUCUGGCCCCGUUUUGCCUCCGCUUCGGUCUCGUGGCUUCUGGAGUCUUCUAGAUGUAAGAUAAUUGCGCAGCACGUUAAUAUCUUUACGUAAUCCUGACAUGUGGGCCUUUCUUCCAUAUUUCCUGAUAACCCCCUGCAGAAAUAGACAAACACCAAACCUCGUGGAAUUCUGUCAGAUAAAACCCUAAGUCUAGAUCUUUAUUUCAUUUGGAUCCUUUUCUUUGUUUAUUUGUUAAUUAAAUUUGAUACUUAAGGACCGUCAACAAACUCCCCCAAGCAUACCUCUUGCUCGUCCCUGAGCAAGGAUAGACUCAGCUAUGGAUCAGAAGUUGCUGCAAUAUCUUUAAAAAUUUGACGGUACACAUGCUCUUAAAUAAGAUCUCAUCUCUGAGUUAGGGUAAACUGUCAAGACUUAAAACUUACUUACUUUACCUACACCAUGGGACUUGUAACUGUCACUUCUGUCUUGAGUGGUUAAAAGAUAGAACAGUCUAGCCAAGUGCUAUGUCUCUUAUUCUUUAUCAGCUAUAGCUCUGGGGUUUUUGCAGAUUUUCAAAUAAAACUCAGAAUUCCUUGUAUGAUUCUCUCAGGUCUCUCUUUUGUGGUAUUUUUGGAUCCUUACCAAGGCAUUGAUAGUAUAUGCCUUCUCUCAAGAUAUGUGGUAUUUGUGGUAUGAGGCAUAGUAACAUUGCCUUCUCUCUCAUCCUACUCUAAUAAGGCUUUAAUAUCUGGAGCUCAUAGGUGGGAGAUAAAAUAUACAUACUUACAAGACAUGUAUUGCAUAGUCAAACCAUGGAUCCAAAGUAACAAGUCAAUAAGUUUAAUCAAGAUGUGCAUGUGUGGCGAAUGAAUGGUAUAUGGUGAUGAUGGUGAUAACAAUGGUGAAAACAAUGGUGAAAACAAUGGUGGUGAAAGUCUAAUUCUACUUUGCUCUUCUGAGGGGAUACAUACCUUCCUUGCUUUUGAAACUUUAUGAGGAGAAUGAGAUGCUCUUCUUUUUCUUUUCUCUCAGGUGGGUAUCUUGUACCCCUAAUUCAACUGUCGGAUACUUGUCCAUUUUUACCUCUCGUCUCACUUUUUUCUUUUCUUUCGAGGUUCCGAGCACUUGCUCCUUUUUAUUUCCUCGUAUUAUUCUUCUCUCUUUUUUUUUAGAGCACUCAUCUCUUGAGAUAAUAUAGCAAGUGGUAGUAACAAGAUAACUUGAGAAUUUAUUUCACAAACAGAAAAUAUUUUUGGUUAUUCUCUCCCGGAUUAGGAGUAGAAUAUUUUCAGGUGGUUCUGGAGAUGGAAUGGGUGGAUAUAUGUGGAUGGUACUUCCGGAGUAGAAGUAGCAUAUAUGAGUGAACGUGCAAGUGAAAUCUUGAUUUAACCACAUGACAAGCUCCUAAGGGUCUACACAGCUUGACCACACUCAAUGCUCAUAAGCAGUAAAUAAUAAAUGUGUGGCUCAAGGUCUAGCAAGCAUGUAUAUAUGGCUGUGGUAGGAAUUUAAGCUCUCAUCAUACAGGAACUCAUCAUGUAAUAUUUUAAAGAUUUUCAAAGAUAAAUUCUCUAGAAUUCUAGCAUCUCUAGGAACAGAUAAACAGCAGCUCAACCUUCCUAUAUCGUAUCCGUUAACAACUUAGACUUCAGAUCAAGUUUUCCUCCAACAAGUUUAGGUCUAGGGCAAGCUUUAAAUUAUAACAGUUAUGUCUAAACUUGAGAGAGAACUUAAAAUGUGCAAAUUAGGCAGAGCAACUAUUCAUUAUAUCCAUACUUAAGUUUUAUUAGAUACAGAUUAGCAUAGCCACUUUAUUUAUUAAUUAAACACACUAAGUAAUACUCCCUCCGUCCCAAAUUAUAAGUCAUUCCAAGAAUCUUGGAGAGUCAAAUUUUUUCAAGUUUGACCAAAUUUAUAUAGCAAAAUAAUAAGAUUUUUUGUAGCAACCAAGUAUCAUUAGAUUCUUUGUUAGUUAUAUUUUCAUAGUGUACCCAUUUUAUGACAUAAAUCUUUAUAUUUCUCUCUAUAUUUUUGGUCAAACUUGGAAAUGCUUUGACUCUCCAAGAUUCUUGGAAUGACUUAUAAUUUGGAACGGAUGGAGUAUAUAUAAGCAUAAAAUCUUUAUUUGGUUUUCCCAUAGUUUAUGUGUAUUAAUAUUCUAAAAUAAUAUAAAUAUAAAGAUAGAUAGAUAGAAAUAUUUAUCGAGAUAAAUGGGGGUGCUCUCUCCCAAGCUGAAUUUUGACGUAAUUUCUCUUGAUGUAGCUAGCAGGUGGCAGAGGUGUAUUUGAAAGCAGCAUUCUGACAGCGAUUAGAAUGUCCUCUGUCUGCUAGUCUUCUUGAUUUUUAAAUUCUGUGGAGCUCAAAUAGACAACAAAGCUUGUGGAACUGAUUAAGUGUUAGCAUAAAUAUCUAGCCUUUAUCAUCUUGAGACUCCUUAAUUAUUACUCCCUGUUUUUAUAUUUAUAUUUUUAUUUUUAUAAAGCAGAAAAAAUAUUUAUUUUAUUUUUAUGCCACCACAGUGAAUGUACGUAUGGGUUUUUAUGCCACUCGUCUACUCACAUGGGGCUUACUGUUUUUCACAUUUUUAUUUUCUUUUAUUUUUUUAGAUAGUAUGAAUAUGAUUAACUAAGUAAACUAUUUAAAAUAAUUGAAAGGGAAAGGAUAACUACCAAGUUUACCUCUUGGCAAGGCGUUCGGUGUUUUCAAGUCCUCCGAACGGGACUCUCCAAUUUCUUAAUCGUCCUGAGGUUCGUUGGGUGGCGUAGUCGGUACUUCCGGCAGCGCCUCCUCUUCUUGUAUAGUUAUCUUCAUUUUCCACACCUGACUCGGUGCUUCAAUCUCCUCUGGAUAAUUCUGUUUAAACUCUACGUCUUCUGACCUUACAACUUCUCCUUCAUAGUCUGCCCAUCCGUCCUUAAUGAUCUACCUCCUCUGGUUGCGGUUGCGUCGUUUUCUUGCCUGCUUAGAUUCUUCAAUGAUAUAGUUAGGGUCAGUAAAAUAACAGCGUACCUUCUCUGAGGGGAAGUGCAUAUGGACUUCUCCGGUUCCAAUGUAGAUAAUGGCUUUAACGGUGCUGAGGAACGGUCUUCCAAGGAUGAUGAGUGGAUCAUACUCGUCUUCUCCCAUGUCAACAACUUGAAAGUCUGUGU
RNAcentral lists this long non-coding RNA (31916 nucleotides) under Sorghum bicolor (sorghum). RNAcentral describes it as "long non-coding RNA (SBIC_LNC005036)". Lineage: Eukaryota; Viridiplantae; Streptophyta; Magnoliopsida; Poales; Poaceae. The record is from RNAcentral.